RNAcentral lists this ribosomal RNA (429 nucleotides) under Bacteroidota bacterium. RNAcentral's name for it is "Bacteroidetes bacterium partial 16S ribosomal RNA". It matches the Rfam family "Bacterial small subunit ribosomal RNA", at positions 355 to 776 of the family's 1533-position model. The record is from RNAcentral. Lineage: Bacteria; Pseudomonadati; Bacteroidota.
UAGGGAAUCUUCGGCAAUGGGGGGAACCCUGACCGAGCAACGCCGCGUGAGUGAAGAAGGUUUUCGGAUCGUAAAGCUCUGUUGUUAAGGAAGAACGAGUGUGAGAAUGGAAAGUUCAUACUGUGACGGUACUUAACCAGAAAGGGACGGCUAACUACGUGCCAGCAGCCGCGGUAAUACGUAGGUCCCGAGCGUUGUCCGGAUUUAUUGAGCGUAAAGCGAGCGCAGGCGGUUAGAUAAGUCUGAAGUUAAAGGCAGUGGCUCAACCAUUGUAGGCUUUGGAAACUGUUUAACUUGAGUGCAGAAGGGGAGAGUGGAAUUCCAUGUGUAGCGGUGAAAUGCGUAGAUAUAUGGAGGAACACCGGUGGCGAAAGCGGCUCUCUGGUCUGUAACUGACGCUGAGGCUCGAAAGCGUGGGGAGCGAACAGG